This 1558-nucleotide long non-coding RNA is filed under the name Mytilus galloprovincialis (Mediterranean mussel). Lineage: Eukaryota; Metazoa; Mollusca; Bivalvia; Mytilida; Mytilidae. The record is from RNAcentral.
CGUAAAAAUCGCUUGCUAGGUCCGUAAAUCUCAGUAAAAACCUACAAUAAAAUGUCCGCUCCGAGAUUGAAAUACUAAUCUGUGUUACAAACAGGUGCUGAAAAAUGGACAUUAUCAAAAAAUAAUCAUUAAAUGUGUUUUAAAGUUACACCGGAUCGAUUAAAUCCAAAACAUGCACUGCUGGUGAACUGUGAUCAAAAUGUCAAUUUCCUACAAUGACAAAAGAAAUUACAUUGUGUACAUUCCAUCUCUAGACAUGUUGUCUGUUCAAGGUCCCGACCUAAAAAGAAAUUAAAAGACUAAGUUUUUCUUAAUAUAAACCCGCGUCACGUGAUGUCUCCUCAAUCUUGCGCGCGCGCUGUAUCUAAAAUAAAAGAAAAACUUUCCAAACUAAACAUGAAACUUCUCCGGUAACAUAAUAAUAUAGACCCAUACCAAAGCAACAAACAAACAAAUAAACAAAUACCCCCCCCCCCUUUUCCAAAUCAAUCAAUAAAAAAAAUCAAUUAUCCAUUCAUCAGAGGGGAAAGACUGCCUAACAAUUGUUUUCAAAACAAUUGCUUUAUAUUUAUUAUUAAGUCUUUCCACUUUUCUGUGGAAAGACUUAUUGUAUUUGUUCUGAUUAUUAUUAUUAUUAUUAUUAUUAAGUCUUUCCACUUUUCUGUGGAAAGACUUAUUGUUUUUCUUCUGAUUAUUAUUUUUUUUUUUUUCUUCCGCCAAAUUUUGUUCUUGCGCAAAAUGUUUGUUUCGCAAUAUGUCGCUUAGAUAUUUCUCAUAUGGUAUCGUAUAGUUUAUGCGCUUUUAAAUUUCACCCUGCUAAGGCGAACCAUUUUCUUUGUAAGAGUUAUCUCCCUAUUCACUGUUUAUCAUCUGUGUGCAUCUCCUUCGUAACAAAAAAAGAUAGCGACAAAAUUCCUUUUACAAAUUGUUCGUUACAUCCUCAGGAAUUUUUGGCUAAUUGGGAUCGAAGCGAUUCGAUGACAUUUUAUAGGAGUUAUCUACCUUUACAAAAUAAAUUUGUCGGUAUGUUUUUUUAACUCAUAAACAGUCAACUGUAUAACCCUGGAAUGUUUUUAUUUGAGGCCCCUAGGUCCUAACUUACAAAAUGAGGUCAAGGUCAAAGGUCAAGGUCAAGUUCUCAAUUGUGACUUUUGCUUGUUUUUGCAUUUUCUCAGACAUUUUGAAAGAUACAUAUAAAAGAACAAGUGCAAAAUGUCUGCUUUAUUGUAAUAAAGAUAUGCUACGUUUAGUCUAAUACAAUUUAAUGGCAUCUUAUAGGAGUUGGUGCCCCUGAAAUGUCUUGAUAUGAGGUUAUUUGAUUAUAACUUUAACUAAGUUCAUUAUAAAGGCAUUUGACCUUGUACAAAGGGUAAGGUGACAAAUGACCUUGAAAAAUGACUACCGGAAGUGACCUUGAGAAAACCGGAAGUAGCCUUUUUUGCAAUUUUUUCAUAUAAAAUUACUCAGAAUCCAUAUAUUUUGUCAUAUAGAUACAUAAACUGAUUACUGAAGACUCAAAAUGACUUCCAACAAACCGGAAGUGGCCAAUUAUCUCCCA